Molecule: long non-coding RNA, 697 nt
Filed under: Equus caballus (horse)
Lineage: Eukaryota; Metazoa; Chordata; Mammalia; Perissodactyla; Equidae
Description: lncRNA (ENSECAG00000054771.1)
Source: RNAcentral
GGAAGAUCAAAAAGCCCACACGAGCCCUUUCCUGAUUGUAUCUUACUCAACUCCGUCUGGCCAACAUAUUGGUUGCAUAUAUCUUAACCAUUCCCUUUAUUGGCUACUCCAAACUUCACCCCUUCCUUCCUCAUUCUUAGCAGAUUUUACUUCGCAGAGAAAAAGAUAGAGACCUUGGUGAUAGGAGUGAUAGCAAGUGACUUUCUGAACUGUCGGAGCCCUGCCCAAACUCACACGCUUAUCUGUUGGUGCUGCAGGCAUCCAGAACAUACCACUGCGGAAGAGCUUUGUUUCAUUUUCUUUUCUUUUGGACUCUGCUUAUCUAUCUAAAAGCAGAGCCUCCCAAAAGAAUUCAACUCCCCGGGAGUUUAGCAACCAGGAAAGACUGACUCCUAUCCCUGGAGAGGAGAAUUUGGCUCAGGGGAAGAUUAGCCCUGAGCUAACAUCUAUGCCCAUCUUCCUCUAUUUCAUAUGUGGGACACCUGCCACAGCGUGGCUUGGUAAGUGGUGCGUAUGUCCAUGCCCAGGAUUCAAACCAGCGAACCCCGGGCUGCUGAAGUGGAGCGCUGCGCCACCGGGUGGACCCCUGACUUUGACAGUUUUGAGGAAUGCUGGUCAGGUAUUUUGUGGAAUGCCCCUCCAUGGGGAUUUGUAUGAUGUUAUUCUCUUGGUUAGGCUGGGGGUCUGGGUUUUUGGG